RNAcentral lists this ribosomal RNA (447 nucleotides) under uncultured bacterium. Its description in RNAcentral is "bacterial SSU rRNA". It matches the Rfam family "Bacterial small subunit ribosomal RNA", at positions 355 to 825 of the family's 1533-position model. The record is from RNAcentral.
UGGGGAAUAUUGGACAAUGGGCGCAAGCCUGAUCCAGCCAUGCCGCGUGAGUGAUGAAGGCCCUAGGGUUGUAAAGCUCUUUCACCGGUGAAGAUAAUGACGGUAACCGGAGAAGAAGCCCCGGCUAACUUCGUGCCAGCAGCCGCGGUAAUACGAAGGGGGCUAGCGUUGUUCGGAUUUACUGGGCGUAAAGCGCACGUAGGCGGACUUUUAAGUCAGGGGUGAAAUCCCGGGGCUCAACCCCGGAACUGCCUUUGAUACUGGAAGUCUUGAGUAUGGUAGAGGUGAGUGGAAUUCCGAGUGUAGAGGUGAAAUUCGUAGAUAUUCGGAGGAACACCAGUGGCGAAGGCGGCUCACUGGACCAUUACUGACGCUGAGGUGCGAAAGCGUGGGGAGCAAACAGGAUUAGAUACCCGAGUAGUCCCUGAGCGGGCUGGCAAGGCGCAU